Molecule: ribosomal RNA, 431 nt
Filed under: uncultured bacterium
Lineage: Bacteria
Description: partial 16S ribosomal RNA
Rfam family: Bacterial small subunit ribosomal RNA
Source: RNAcentral
AACGAACGCUGGCGGCAUGCCUAACACAUGCAAGUCGAACGAGACCUUCGGGUCUAGUGGCGCACGGGUGCGUAACGCGUGGGAACCUGCCCUUAUGUUCGGAAUAACUCCCCUAAAGGGGUGCUAAUACCGGAUAAUUUCUUCUGACCAAACAUUUUUCGCCGUUGGAUGGGCCCGCGUUGGAUCAGCUUGUUGGUAGGGUAAAAGCCUACCAAGGCGACGAUCCAUAGCUGGUCUAAGAGGAGGACCAGCCACCCUGGGGCUGAGACACGGCCGAAACUCGGACGAGGGGCGGAAGUGGGAAAUAGUGGAACCGGGGGGAAGGACAAAUCCAGCGAGGCCGAGAGAGUGAUGAAGGGGAUAGGGGUGUAACGCUCUUUUACCCGGGUGGAUAGACGGUGCCCCGAGAGAAAACGCCGGGUAAAUCCCUG